GAUGAACGCUGACAGAAUGCUUAACACAUGCAAGUCUUUGGCGAAGCUGUGCUUGCACAGCCUAGCCAAGGCGGACGGGUGAGUAACGCGUAAGGAACUUGCCCUGCAGUCAGGGAUAACAGACGGAAACGACUGAUAAGACCUGGUAAAGUCAGGCGGACUCAUGUCCAGCCUGAUGAAAAGAGAUGCUGCAGGAGAGCCUCGCGUCCUAUUAGCUUGUUGGUGGGGUAACGGCCCACCAAGGCGAUGAUAGGUAGCCGGCCUGAGAGGGUGGACGGCCACAAGGGGACUGAGAUACGGCCCUUACUCCUACGGGAGGCAGCAGUGGGGAAUAUUGGACAAUGGGGGCAACCCUGAUCCAGCAAUUCUGUGUGCACGAUGAAGGUUUUCGGAUUGUAAAGUGCUUUCAGCAGGGAAGAAAAAAAUGACGGUACCUGCAGAAGAAGCGACGGCUAAAUACGUG
Molecule: ribosomal RNA, 463 nt
Filed under: uncultured bacterium
Lineage: Bacteria
Description: partial 16S ribosomal RNA
Rfam family: Bacterial small subunit ribosomal RNA
Source: RNAcentral